Molecule: long non-coding RNA, 838 nt
Organism: Rhipicephalus sanguineus (brown dog tick)
Lineage: Eukaryota; Metazoa; Arthropoda; Arachnida; Ixodida; Ixodidae
Exons: 3
Source: RefSeq, a predicted model, not a curated record
AGACGGGCAUCCAUCAGAGUUCAAACUUCUGCGUCUUGAUAUAACUUUAAACCUUACACAAAUAUAUGCUGAAGUCAUCUUCGUUCCAUAGUUGCACUCAUACAGAUCACAAUGUACGAUAUUCAAAAUUCAGAUAAUUCAUGCUCAUGCCUACGCUAAUGUAAGAGUUGGGUCGAGUCAGAAAAAUAAAUUAUGUCAUGCUUUUACGCAUUGUUACCGACAGUAUUUGCUCUGCAUCGCUCGAUUACGUCUAACUGCGUCGGUAUCGAAACGGGGCAGCUGAGAAUGAUAUGUUACGCAAUAAAUGAUACGCUGUGGCUUAACGAUUUUUCAGAUAGCACGAAUGCCAGCAAUCGUGCAAAGUAGGAGUCCAAAGGGGGACAUGGUUGGUGUGGUUGGGUGAAAGCAACGUGUCAUUGUGGUUAAAAAAGAUGAAUCAGUAUACAUGUGAUAUAACUGUCAAAGCCAGAAUGUUAAAAGGUACGUAGAGAGCACAAAUUUUUGUUCUUUUUUUUUCCGCCAUAUUCAAUGUGUUGCGUUGGAACUGUUUACAGCAUACAUCCCUCCCAAGGCAUGCUGGGGGGAUCUCCUAUCAGGCAGCUUGGAAACUUCCAGACGCCGAUAUGCCUUACGUUUGGUGCAGCCGAGGUUAUGAACUUUCAAGUGGAAUAUGCCCCUUGAGGAAAACAAUUAGGACCCACUGUCCAGCAAAGAGGUUGCAGAAUCAGUAACUGACAUACUGACUGAUGAAACAUGAUGGUGCGUGCAGCAAGAGAGGGUUUGACUGCAGAUCCCGACCACCUGCUUCUGUAAAUUUGUACUAACCACAGUUGAAAAC